UGCUGACGAGUGGCGGACGGGUGAGUAAUGUCUGGGAACUGCCCGAUGGAGGGGGAUAACUACUGGAAACGGUAGCUAAUACCGCAUAACGUCUUCGGACCAAAGAGGGGGACCUUCGGGCCUCUUGCCAUCGGAUGUGCCCAGAUGGGAUUAGCUAGUAGGUGGGGUAACGGCUCACCUAGGCGACGAUCCCUAGCUGGUCUGAGAGGAUGACCAGCCACACUGGAACUGAGACACGGUCCAGACUCCUACGGGAGGCAGCAGUGGGGAAUAUUGCACAAUGGGCGCAAGCCUGAUGCAGCCAUGCCGCGUGUAUGAAGAAGGCCUUCGGGUUGUAAAGUACUUUCAGCGGGGAGGAAGGGAGUGAGGUUAAUAACCUCAUUCAUUGACGUUACCCGCACAAGAAGCACCGGCUAACUCCGUGCCAGCAGCCGCGGUAAUACGGGGGGUGCAAGCGUUAAUCGGAAUUACUGGGCGUAUAGCGCACGCAGGCGGUCUGUCAAGUCGGAUGUGAAAUCCCCGGGCUCAACCUGGGAACUGCAUUCGAAACUGGCAGGCUUGAGUCUCGUAGAGGGGGGUAGAAUUCCAGGUGUAGCGGUGAAAUGCGUAGAUAUCUGGAGGAAUAUCGGUGGCGUAGGCGGCCGCCUGCACGAAGACUGACGCUCACGUGCGAGAGCGUGGGGAGCAAACAGGAUUAGAU
Molecule: ribosomal RNA, 700 nt
Filed under: uncultured bacterium
Lineage: Bacteria
Description: bacterial SSU rRNA
Rfam family: Bacterial small subunit ribosomal RNA
Source: RNAcentral